GGAGGCACAACCAGUUAUUGUAGUUAAAGGAGGCACAACCAGUUAUUGUAUCUAAAGGAGGCACAACCAGUUAUUGUAGUUAAAGGAGGCACAACCAGUUAUUGUAGUUAAAGGAGGCACAACCAGUUAUUGUAGUUAAAGGAGGCACAACCAGUUAUUGUAGUUAAAGGAGGCACAACCAGUUAUUGUAUCUAAAGGAGGCACAACCAGUUAUUGUAUCUAAAGGUGGCACAACCAGUUAUUGUAUCUAAAGGAGGCACAACCAGUUAUUGUAGUUAAAGGAGGCACAACCAGUUAUUGUAGUUAAAGGAGGCACAACCAGUUAUUGUAUCUAAAGGAGGCACAACCAGUUAUUGUAGUUAAAGGAGACACAACCAGUUAUUGUAGUUAAAGGAGGCACAACCAGUUAUUGUAUCUAAAGGAGGCACAACCAGUUAUUGUAGUUAAAG
Long non-coding RNA from Oncorhynchus tshawytscha (Chinook salmon), 449 nucleotides. NCBI's taxonomy places the organism in Eukaryota, Metazoa, Chordata, Actinopteri, Salmoniformes, Salmonidae. The record is from Ensembl.